This 470-nucleotide ribosomal RNA is filed under the name uncultured bacterium. Its description in RNAcentral is "bacterial SSU rRNA". It matches the Rfam family "Bacterial small subunit ribosomal RNA", at positions 9 to 517 of the family's 1533-position model. The record is from RNAcentral.
GAGUUUGAUCUUGGCUCAGGAUGAAUGCUGGCGGCGUGCCUAAUACAUGCAAGUCGAGCGGUAAGGCCCUUCGGGUACACGAGCGGCGGACGGCUGAGUAACGCGUGGGAACAUACCCCAAAGUGAGGGAUAACCUCGAGAAAUCGAGGCUAAUACCGCAUAUGGUCUUCGGAUUAAAGGAUUUAUCCGCUUUGGGAGUGGCCCGCGUACGAUUAGAUAGUUGGUAGGGUAAUGGCCUACCAAGUCGACGAUCGUUAACUGGUCUGAGAGGAUGAUCAGUCAGACUGGAACUGAGACACGGUCCAGACCCUACGGGAGGCAGCAGUAAGGAAUCUUCCACAAUGGGCGAAAGCCUGAUGGAGCAACGCCGCGUGCAGGAUGAAGGCCCUCGGGUCGUAAACUGCUUUUAUGAGUGAAGAAUAUGACGGUAACUCAUGAAUAAGCACCGGCUAACUACGUGCCAGCAGCCG